This 770-nucleotide non-coding RNA is filed under the name Argynnis paphia (silver-washed fritillary). Lineage: Eukaryota; Metazoa; Arthropoda; Insecta; Lepidoptera; Nymphalidae. The record is from RNAcentral.
GAUAAAAUUUUAUAUUUUUUAUAAUUUAUUAUAAAUUUAUUUUACAUAUAAAUUUUAGUAUAUAAUUUUAAUUAUUUUAAUAAUAAUUAAUUAAUAAAUUUAGUAAUUAAAAUUAAAAAUUUAAGAAAUUAAGAUUUAGUAAUAUAAAAAUUAAUAACUAAUUUUGUGCCAGCAGUUGCGGUUAAACAAAAAUUAAAUUAAAUUAUUUCAGUAUAUAAUAAAUAUAAAUAUUUUAAAUUAAAUAUUGAAUUAUUAAGUGAAAUUUUAAUUUAAUUAAAUUUUAUAAUAAAUUUAUGAUUUAAUAAAUUUUAAUAUAAACUAGGAUUAGAUACCCUAUUAUUAAAAAUUUAAAUUUUAAUACUAAAAUAGUAAAUAGAUAAUAUUGAAACUUAAAUAAUAUGGCGGUAUUUUAGUUCAUUUAGAGGAAUCUGUCUAAUAAUUGAUAAUCCACGAAUAAAUUUACUUAAUUUAAAAUUUUGUAUAUCAUUGUAAAAAAAAUAUUUUUAAAUAAAAAUAAUAUUUAAAAAUUUAAAUUAAAAAUUAAUUCAGAUCAAGAUGCAGAUUAUAAUUAAGCUUAUGAUGGAUUACAAUAAAUAUAUUUAAAUGAAUAAAAAUUUGUAAUUAUAAUUGAAGGUGGAUUUAAAUGUAAUUUUAAUUAGUUUAUUAAAAUGAUUUAUAAUUAAAAUAUGUACAUAUUGCCCGUCACUUUCAUUUAAAAAUUGGAAUAAGUCGUAACAAAGUAGAGGUACUGGAAAGUGUUUCUAGAAUGU